RNAcentral lists this ribosomal RNA (117 nucleotides) under Danio rerio (zebrafish). The record is from RNAcentral. Lineage: Eukaryota; Metazoa; Chordata; Actinopteri; Cypriniformes; Danionidae.
AGCCACAGGCAUAUCAGCCUGCAGCCCAAGGCCGGUUACUCACUAAAACUAAGCAAAGCUGAGCCUGGUCAGUAAUUGGAUUGGAGACCACAUGGGAAAACUAGGUUACUGUUGUAG